AAAUGAAUCUAUCCCUGAAUGCUCAGCCACUUCUGAGCCACUGAAAUGGCGACCCGUGACUGACUGCUAAUCAAAGUGUAAACACAACAACAACCACAACAGCAACAGCAACAUCAAUAACAAUAACAAAAGUCAUUUCACUGGGCUACAACAGCACAUGGAAGCCAUAUAAAAUAUGCAAUUUACUAUAUACUCGUUGUUGAGUGUGAGUACAAUGAAUUUGAUUCAUUUAAAAUUCAAUGUUAACUAGUUUGUGCAUGGGAACGAAACGGGCCCUGAGGCAAGGGGAUUGCAAAAUAUGGCAAGCUUAUAUUACAAUUGUUGUUAGAACCGCCUGGGUGGAACCACAAAAAACAACACUACAAUUAUACUAAGUAGGUGCUUAAGGGAAGGUGACAUAACUACAAAUUACUUUCGAGUCAUCUCAGAAAAGUUGCAUUUCUCUUCGACAGAUAUUGUGAUAAUCAAUAAAAUUUAAUGAUUAUUUCUAUGAACAAAAAAACAAAAGCUUGUUUUCCAGACUAUUUUUCAAGUGGUUACGUAUACUUAAUAUAUGCAACCUGCAGAAAUAUUUUCAACUGUCUUUUCAAAACUCUUCAGCAGGCAAUGUUACAUUAAGGUCAUAAGGAUGGCAGACUGAGCAAAACUCGUUGCAUUUGUGAGCCAACGGCCUGCAAAUGUAGCAAGAAGAAGCAACAACAACAACAACAACAGCGACAGCAGAGCUUGUUGCUUUCACAAUUGCGGCGACGAGGUGCUGAUAACUUAUCAAGCAUUAUAUUAUUUUAGUACUAUGUAUAUGCAAAGCAAAUAAAAAAUAGAGCAAAAACAAAUACUUGUACUCGUAUGUACACAUACUGUCAAAGCUAACAGAGGGUGUGUAUUUAAAAAUGUUCCGCGUUUACGACAUUCGCUUUAAAGCUCUUUAUAUAUGUGCUCACAUAUGUACAGACAUAUAUAAUUCAUGUAUUUGCACAGAUUGUGAAGAGUACUAAUUUUAACUGGUUGCUGAAGUUAUCUACGAAGUGCAGUGGAAAAAUCAACGCAACAAAAUACUUGGAAACGAAGAAACCAAACCAAAUAAAAAGAAUUAAUUUAAAUCAUUCGAGAUUGUGCCAUAUCUGAAAGGUUGACAAGGCCACGACGUUGCACACUCUUUGCGGGUUAUCAAAAGGUUCUGUUAUCCCCAAUUAAUACACACGAUAUGGCGCCGUAUAUUAUUGAUAUUGAAUUUCAAGUUGAUUGCGAAACAUUUAGCUUCAAUAAUACACUGCACUGUAAUAAGUGCUUUCAGCCAUUAAAUACUUGGCUCUGGUUUUAGCAAAUACUUGUAGUAGUAUAUUGUAGUAUUCAAACUUCAGGUUAGCGUCUAAACAACUAUUUAUUUCUAUCUGGACUUUGGAAUUGUGAUUCAAGAGGAUUCAAACUAUGUUUCUAUAGUUGUGUUUACUCAUUGGAAAAGCACUCUGUAAAUUGCGUAUUAUUCCUCUAUGGGGAACAUUCUCAAUUAGACCCGCUAUGAGAAAAUCGGAAAAUACUCUAACAGAAAACAGGAGCGGACUAAGAUGAACCUUGAAAAGAGACACAAAACAUAAAUAACGCAAUUGAUUCUAUAAAGCUGCACCCCUAUUUCAUUGUGCUUUAUUACCGAUAUAAAUAAUUUUAUAUUUGUUCACAAUUACAAUUACGACACCAAUAAAUACCACAAAUAGAAAUUCUGAGAAUGAAAUCUAUUAUGAAAUAUAGUCAAACUCGAUAAAGAAUUAAAUAUGCCUCGAAAGCGCAUACAUAAUGAAAUCUCAAUUUAGAUAAAGACCCCAAUCGAACUAGCACAAAAAUGAUAAAAUAAAUUCCGUAUUUUUCAAUUUUUGUUCUUCAAACUAGUAAAGAUCAACUCCAAAUUAGUUGUCUUAACGAGAUCAAAAGCUGGCACCUAUUGAAAUCCGCUCCUGUUUGUCGUACGAUGAUGUAAAGUGUAAGUCGUAUUUAUAGCAAGGUCAAUUAAUAAUUAACAAAUAGACAACUUUAAGUUGAGGGACGGUCAGUUAUGUGAACACUCAAAAUGUGUCAGAAGUAGUUGUUUAUUUUAAACUGAACAACAAAAUUAAACAAGCCAAAAAAAAGCCUUAUCUUAACUCGUGUUUUUAGGAGUACUUUUUUAUAAGCCCCUCGAGUAUGACAAAUUUAGAACUUUACGGUUAAAUCUAAUCACAUGAUGUUCCUUUACAACAUCCAUCUAAAAAGGGUGAGGUAAUAAAAUGUUAAAGCGUAUUACAUUUCAAGUACGUUGCCUUCUCAAAUGAUUCUUUGUUUUUAUGGCCUGAACUUUUUAUCUAUUGUUCAGAAAACGUGUCGUUACCUUUCAUAUAUAAGUCGUAAAUAUUAAGCAAAAUGCGCAUCGACAAAAGAUAAAAAGAAAAGCAAAAAGUAAAUGUGAUAAAUGAGGACAUUUGAGAGAGAUAACUAUAGCGCAAACUUGAGGGAAACUUUUAAAAUAUUGAGAUUAUUUUAAUGAUAUUUAUAAGCUUUAAACAAUCUUAUUUUUUUUUCGUAAAUAAAAACAAUUUUUAAUAGCAGGCCAUGAGUAUAAAUUAACCAAAAGAUAAGCACAGCGGACCGGGUUAUAAAGGUUGUAUACUAUCUGUGGAUCUCAAGAACUUAUCUCGACGAUAAGCUAAAGGAAAAACUGGGAAAUUCUUCAGGAAUGUGUUCACAUCAACAAAUAUAAAGAAAGAUUAUCGUUACCAUUUAAAGGAUUAUUCAUCAUUUAUUUAUAUUAACCAAAUUAUUCAGACUUUAUAUAUCAUUUAAUAAAUUUUUAGACAAAUCAUUCCAAAGGGAAUUAACGUGCUUAACUUUGCAUUAUAAAAUUGUUCGAUAAUCAUAUCACUGGGUGACGACAGCAUUAAAAGCAAAUAGAUGACAUUCAAUCUGGGAUAUAGCAAAGUCCAAAAAAAUUAUAAAUACUUGAGUAUCGAUAAGCAACGGCAUUCAAGAGAUUAUCUUUCAUAAUUACAAUGAUAUUAAGCAAAACAGUUAAAACGUGUGAUGCAAACGAAUUAAAGCAUUUUUAGUUUAAUAAAUACUAUGAAGAGAGAACGGAAUAAACAUUGCAUAUAUACAGAAAAUGUAUAUAUAGUACAUAUAUUAAUAGGGAAUAAAUAAGAUUUAUCAACUUGGGAGAUACUUUCACACCUCAGUCUAAAGACCACAAAUAAUAAUUAUAACAUCAUAAAUAAUGAUAGGCAAUAGCAUUCAAGUGAUUAUCUUUCAUAUUAUAGCAAUUAACACGUGUAAUGCAAAUGAGUUAAUGCAAUUUUAGUGAUAUGAAUUCCAUAAGAACUGAAUAAACAUUAAAUAAACGAUAUUUGCUUAUCUUUUGAUAUAUUAUAUAUAAUUUUAGAUAUAUUCCAUUGGGAAUAAACAAAAUUGCUCAACUUGAGAGAAACCCAAGUCCAAAGACCACUUUUGAAUAAAUAAUAUUUCUAACAUCGUAAAAUCCGAUAAGUAAUAGCAUUCAAGCGAUUAUCUUUUAUAUUUCAUUGAUAGUAAGAAAAGCAUUUAACACGUAUAAUGCAACUGAGUUUAUACAACGUGUUUGUAAACGAGAUUUCAGAAUUUAGAAAAUAUAAAAUAUUAGAUAAAAGUAUUCCACUGGGAAGAAGACUGAAUAAACAGGAAAUAACCAAGAUUGCUCAACUUUGAAGAUAAUCAGGUCUAAAUAUACAUUCCCACUAAGAGAAGUAUACAACACGUGUGAAGCAGACUUAAUAAACAAUUUAAUAAAGUUAAUAACUGUCAUAAAAGAAAGACUAAGUAAGCAGUGAUUAACAAGAUUAACUUUGGAGCAAUCUAUGUAGGUCUAAAGAGCACUGACUACUUUCAAAUAAACAAUAUUGCAUUUAAGGGAUUGCUCAUCACAUUAUAUUUGAACGUUAACCAUUUGUCACGUUCGAGUUAGACCUAACAAACAAUUCAAUAAAUAUACAUAUAAAUAUAUAAAUGAAUAUACAUAUAUGUAUA
Molecule: RNA transcript, 4023 nt
Organism: Drosophila nasuta
Lineage: Eukaryota; Metazoa; Arthropoda; Insecta; Diptera; Drosophilidae
Gene: fok
Gene name: fledgling of Klp38B
Exons: 2
Source: RefSeq, a predicted model, not a curated record